GAAGCCAUCCUUCUCCCUCACGCACGAAACCUUCUCUCCCCCAACUUUCCUCCUGUCGGUCACGACCUCUCUCGUCGCCGCCUCCCUCACUACCCAAACCCUCUCUUGCUGCCGCCUCUCUCACUACCCAAACCCGACCUCGCACCGCUCGCCCAGCUGAGAGAGCCGUCGUCGGAGUCGCGCCGCUCGCCCAGCCGAAGAGUCGUCUAAGUUGCCGCCGCUUCCUAGCCACGAAUGUCGCCGCCGCUCCAGCCCCCUGACCACCGCACGCCACCGCCGAUCCAGCCUCCUGACCACCGCGUGCCGCGUCAUCUUCCAGCAGUUGGACUCUUAGAUUUUGAUUUGAGCUUGGAAAAUCACAACAGCGACUGUCCAGCGGAUUCAAGAUCGUUCGAUAAGGGUAGAGAUGCACCGGCGAUGGACAAGCGAAAUUCGUGAUCGAGCCACUAGGACUAGUUU
Molecule: long non-coding RNA, 459 nt
Organism: Benincasa hispida (wax gourd)
Lineage: Eukaryota; Viridiplantae; Streptophyta; Magnoliopsida; Cucurbitales; Cucurbitaceae
Source: RefSeq, a predicted model, not a curated record